RNAcentral lists this ribosomal RNA (194 nucleotides) under uncultured bacterium. Its description in RNAcentral is "partial 16S ribosomal RNA". It matches the Rfam family "Bacterial small subunit ribosomal RNA", at positions 338 to 524 of the family's 1533-position model. The record is from RNAcentral.
CCUACGGGAGGCAGCAGUGGGGAAUUUUGGACAAUGGGCGCAAGCCUGAUCCAGCCAUUCCGCGUGCAGGAUGAAGGCCUUCGGGUUGUAAACUGCUUUUGUACGGAACGAAAAGGCUCUGGUUAAUACCCGGGGCUCAUGACGGUACCGUAAGAAUAAGCACCGGCUAACUACGUGCCAGCAGCCGCGGUAAU